Molecule: ribosomal RNA, 512 nt
Filed under: uncultured bacterium
Lineage: Bacteria
Description: partial 16S ribosomal RNA
Rfam family: Bacterial small subunit ribosomal RNA
Source: RNAcentral
UGGGGAAUAUUGGACAAUGGGGGCAACCCUGAUCCAGCAAUGCCGCGUGUGUGAAGAAGGUCUUCGGAUUGUAAAGCACUUUCGACGGGGACGAUGAUGACGGUACCCGUAGAAGAAGCCCCGGCUAACUUCGUGCCAGCAGCCGCGGUAAUACGAAGGGGGCUAGCGUUGCUCGGAAUGACUGGGCGUAAAGGGCGUGUAGGCGGUUUACACAGUCAGAUGUGAAAUCCCCGGGCUUAACCUGGGAGCUGCAUUUGAUACGUGUAGACUAGAGUGUGAGAGAGGGUUGUGGAAUUCCCAGUGUAGAGGUGAAAUUCGUAGAUAUUGGGAAGAACACCGGUGGCGAAGGCGGCAACCUGGCUCAUGACUGACGCUGAGGCGCGAAAGCGUGGGGAGCAAACAGGAUUAGAUACCCUGGUAGUCCACGCUGUAAACGAUGUGUGCUAGAUGUUGGGUAACUUUGUUAUUCAGUGUCGCAGUUAACGCGUUAAGCACACCGCCUGGGGGAGUAC